Non-coding RNA from Arachis ipaensis, 111 nucleotides. The record is from RefSeq and is a predicted model, not a curated record. Lineage: Eukaryota; Viridiplantae; Streptophyta; Magnoliopsida; Fabales; Fabaceae.
AAGGGUGAGUGAAAGACUGACAUGAAUUAGCUCUUAGAACACUCACCCAAACUUCAUUCGAAAUAGUUAAGGCAUUUCGACAGACAGACUGACAUUUUCUGUUUCUCCGGU